Homo sapiens (human) is the source of this 4711-nucleotide long non-coding RNA. RefSeq lists it as uncharacterized. NCBI's taxonomy places the organism in Eukaryota, Metazoa, Chordata, Mammalia, Primates, Hominidae. The record is from RefSeq and is a predicted model, not a curated record. The transcript has 2 exons.
GGGAUUACAGGCGUGAGCCACUGCACCCAGCCCUAGCCUGCUUUCUUAAAUCAAGGAACGGGGCUCUAACAAGCCCAACAGGUCUCAACUCCAAGGCCCCCUUCCCGGCUGCUCACUGGCCCCUGCCGAGAGGGGUCCUUUGGGUACAGAAGCACUGACCUCCCUGUGUUCCCGGGGUUCCUGUCCGAGCCUGUGCUCUGCACACGUGCCCCUUCCCACGUGUCCCUUCCAUGGAUUAAUUUAGGAGUUAAUUCAUGAAGAGGUGCCCAGAGCUUGGCCCGGCCCCCGGUGAGAGGCAUUAUUUUUAUUCUUCCCCCUCCAGAACAGGGGUCUUGUCCGUCUUCUCCUUGGUGGUGUAUUGGAUGAAGUAGGUGCUCAGCAAAUGUAGGAGGAGGUGCAGACUCCACAUCUGCAAAGUCCAUGCACCCACUGCGGCCAGCACGCCAUCACUGCCUCCGGACAGUGCCCCGCCCUCCCUGUCUUUCCUUCCUGAGCUUUGGAACUAAGCAGUGAGAGUGGUUCAUGGUCGCAAUCCCUUCAAUAUCUGCGAAGAGCUUAUCUGAGGAUAUCUUGGUGCUGAUCACCUCUGAGAAGCAGCGUUGAUCUUGACUCACUGGAUCCGAUUCAUUCAGGAUAAGCCACACCCUAUUGCCAUUUUCUUCACGCUCCUCUAUUAUCUGGGGCAUAAAAUUAACAUUCAAUUUUCUUCUUUUUCUUUUAAGAGACAAGGUCUUGCUCUGUGGCCCAGGCUGGAGUGCAGUGGCACGAUCUCAGCUCACUGUAGCCUCCACCUCCCGGGUUCAAGGGAUCCUUGCACCUCAGCUUCUGGAGGAGCUGGGACCACAGAGGCAUGUCACUGCACCCAGAUAAUUUUCUAUUUUUUGUAGAGAUGGGGUCUCACUAUGUUUCCCAGGCUGGUCUCAAACUCCUGGCCUCAAGGGAUCCUCCCCCGUGGCCUCCCAAAGUGCUGAGAUUGCAGGCAUGAGCCUCCGUGCCCAGCCAAUGUUGAACUUUUGCUGGAAAGUCGUGCUGUUGUGUGUAUGUCAGUUGAAGCUGGGCGGGCAUCUUAGCCAAAUAUCUGGUGGUUUGGUGGCAUCAAAUUGUCUCCUCUUCCUUCAGUCCUAGAGGCAAAUGCAUGUCCCAUCCAUCAUUCACAGGUUUCUGCAAGGUUUGAAGUCUGCACACUUCAUUUCCAUUCUUUAUUGUUCCUAACUGGUCUUUCUUUCUUUCUUUCUUUUUCUUUCUUUCUUUCUUUUUUGUUUUUGAGAUGGAGUUUCGCUCUUGUUGCCUAGGCCGGAGGGCAGUGGCACUAUCUCAGCUCAUUGCAACCUCCACCUCCUGGGUUCAAGCAAUUCUCCUGCCUCAGCCUCCCAAGUGGCUGGGAUUACAGGCGCCUGCGACCAUGCCCAGCUAAUUUUUGUAUUUUUAGUAGAGACAGGGUUUCACCAUGUUGGCCAGGCUGGUCUCGAACUCCUGACCUCAAGUGAUCGGCCCACAUCGGCCUCCCAAAGUGCUGGGAUUACAGGCGUGAGCCACCACACCCGGCCUCCUAACUGAUGUUUCAGUUUGGAUCUGAAGAACGGGAAUUUUCAUAAUUUCUUUUUCAAGGUUUUUGAGAAUUAGUUUGUUGCCAUUUCCGAACUUCCAUCCCAUUGUGAUGUGCAUAACCAGUCGGCUUCCUUAGCCUCAUCCUCCACCCAGGGAAGCUCCGACCACGCCAGCACCAGGAAGGCCAGCCGGGGAGCAGCCUGGCCCAGGGGUCAGGAGCCGGGGCCUGUGUGACUGGGGCCUGUGUGGCUGGCACCUGGUGGAUGUGAGCCCCAGGACAGGGAGUUUCUGUGCCCAUGAGAUGGAAGCAGCUCACUUCUUGGCCCCUUUCAAGAAUCUGGGAAGAGCUCCAGGAGUCAGAGGUCUGGGUGCCAGUCCCAGCUCUGCUCCAAACUGGCCGUGUGACCUCAGCGAAGUUAUUUCCCAGUUUUGUUUUCUUCUUUUACAAAAUGACAGGGUGAGAGUCGUGAUUGGUUUUCUUAGUGUCAGAAGUGCUGAACUCUGUUAGAAAGCGUCUCAGGUUGUUUUGUUUGACAGUGACUACCCACUUUGCAGAGACCUGGGCUGCCCGCUCUCUGGGGAAUACUGGAGGUUAUGCCCCAUCUCCUGUCCUGUGGGAGAACCCACCCUCCGAACGAGGCUCUGGUGAGGUUUUCACAAUCAGUAACAAGGCCGAUCUCCAUCAAUGGAAGUCUCCCCGUUUGAGAUGGGGUGUGUGCUCCUUACCCAGGCUCCUGAACAAAACCCACCUCCUUGUCUUGGCACCACUGAGAGUGCACACCGAGGGGGCUCCAGCACCAGAUUGUGGGAACAGUCACGAGAAAGCAGCUCAGACUUCACACCCAGAGCCCUUGAUCCCUACACACCCAGUAUUCCUUCACAGCGCUCUUCCUGCUUCCUGGACACGUGGAACUGCUUCUCCAUCGGGGAGGAUCCAUCCAGAGCCCUUUGGGUGGGUGCUCAGGGCAAUAGCUGCUGCCUCUUCCUUCUGCUCAGUGCUGGGAGGCGUUACACUUUCCCCAUAUGGCACGGAGCAGAACGUGCACCUUUGGCUCUGGAAGGAAUGAACAUCCUACCCGUUAGUUAGCCCUGGGAGUCACUGACUCGGUUCUUCCCUGGACACCAAUGUCCUAUGGAGCACACAGAAAGCCACGGAAGUGUGGUCUGCGGGUUGAGGUGGGUAUUCAGAUGCCAGCCUGCAGCCCACUUACAUUGUUUCUUUUGGACUGACACCUUGCCGGAUGCUCAGAUGCCCACAGCGCAGGGGAAGGGACGGCCUAGAGUCCGAGGCGUGGGCAGGGAGCUGGCCCCCGUCCAUUGCUGCAGCUCCGCAGCAGCAGGACAGCCCUGGGAGGUGGAGACGGACUCCGUUCAUGUGGAUAAGCAGAGGAAAUUUGGCAGAAACGACCAAAUGCAAAAUACGUGUAGCAGCCUGAGACCGGCCGUCUACUGAAACAAAGGAUGCAGUUCAGUCGGAAACCACGCUUAGCUGAGUAGCUGUCUUUAGCCAUCCAGGCCCUGAGAACCAAUGAACAACCCAGCUUGGCCGCUUAGAACAUUUUUUCUAUACUUGAGUUAAAUAGAUAUCCAAGAACCAUUACUCGUUUUUAAUGUGGAGAAGUCGGUAUUCUAUUCUCGUGUUCUAUGUUUUUUAAAGUGGCAAUUUGAAUUAUUUCGUGCGAUAGAAAACCUUAAACACAAAGUAACGUUUCUAACAAAAGGGCUGUCGAUCAAGUGACAAACACGUCCUACUUUUAGAUACAAGCACGACUGAGGCAACGGCACGAAGACGCCUAAAGUGGGCUGCUGGGGAGACAAGAUCUGGCCGCGAAUGGAACUCGCGGCAGCUCAUUAACGGGACCGUCCAGCAGGAAGGUGGGUUGGCAGCCUUCUCCCAGGGCUCCCCACGAUCCCUACCCCUGGUGUGGCGUGGCCUUCCUCCUCACAUGUCGUCUGGACCAAGCAGUGUGUUGUUCUCAUCCAUAAAGAGUGAUGGGCCGGGCACGAUGGCCACACCUGUGAUCCCAGCACUGUGGGAGGCUGAGGCGGGAGGAUCUCCUGAGCCCAGGAGUUUGACACCAGCCUGGGUAGCAUAGGGAGACCCUGUCUCUACAGAAAAAAAGUUAGCCAGGUAUUCCAGAGGCUGAGGUGGGAGGAUCGCUUGAACCCAGGAGGUGGAGACUGCAGUGAGCCGUGAUCGCACCACUGCACUCCAACCUGGGCAACAGACUGAGACCCAGUUUCUAAAACAAAUAAUAAAAAGGCAGGGUGCAGUGGCUCAUACCUGUAAUCCCAGCACGUUGGGAGGCCAAGGUGGGCGGAUCACUUGAGGUCAGGAGUUCGAGACCAGCUGGCCCACAUGGUAAAACCCCAUCUCUACUAAAAUGCAAAAAUCAACCGGGCACAGUGGCACACGCCUGUAAUCCCAGCUCUUCAGGAGGCCGAGGCAGGAGAACUGGGAGGCAGAGAUUGCAGUGAGCUGAGAUCGUGCCACUGCACUCCAGGCUGGGUGACAGAGCUAGACACCAUCUUGAAAAAAAAUAAAAGUUAAAUAAAAAGAGUGAUGAGGCAUCCUGAGAUUCAUUUAUAAAAUGCCGUGAUUCAGGUCUCAGGGCACUGUCGCCCCUACUCACUUUGAUGAAGCCAGUGCUGGGUUGCUGCUGAGGUGGGGAGGUUCAUGGGCCAGGAACUGAAGGCAGCCAUGAGAGCCAGACCCCUCCACCACCCCCAAGACAGCAGGGAACUCACUCCAACAGCCACCCUGGGAUGCUGCCACAGCUGAGCCUGGAGGUGACCGUGACCCUGGCUGACGUCGGACUGCAGCUUUGUAAGGGAGACUGAGCCGGGACCCAGACCUACAAAAGCUGAGAUGAUAAACACUGUUUUAAGCUGCUGUGUGUCGCAGUGACUCGUGUGGUAGUGGAUUUCUAGCAGAGCCGUCGUUCGUGUCUGCCUUCUCUCAGCUCAACACUCUGUAGGGCCACCCAUGCCGUUGUGCAUGUCAACGGUGGAUUUUUUAUUGCGAGUAAUAUUUCAUUCCAUUGCAUGCUCACACCUCGGUUUGUUUAACUGUCUACCUGUUGAUGAGCUCUGGGACAUAUGCAGUUCUGGGCUAUUAUGAGUAAAGCUGCUUUUAACAUUUAAAUACAAGUCUGUGUAUGGA